AAAUAGAGGACGGCUCAGGUAUGUCUUUUAUUUGAGUUUUAAUAGUGCCUACGUUAGCGAUAGGGGUAUGGAUGGUAUUUUUAUACCUUGAAGUUAUACCUAGCUUAAAAACGUGUUUUCUAGCCUUUUUUUAAGAAAUCCUUAUCUUCUCAAGAUAAAAGUUUUGCUUGCUGACAUGAAUAAGGCAACAACUACCAGCCAAUUUAGAGACUUUAUUUGCGGACAUCUUAAUUUUUUCAAAAGGUCAUAGCCUUCAUUUCACAUGUAAGUACUUUAACUUUAAAAGCAUCUA
This is a non-coding RNA of Cinara cedri, 292 nucleotides long. NCBI's taxonomy places the organism in Eukaryota, Metazoa, Arthropoda, Insecta, Hemiptera, Aphididae. The record is from the annotation of a GenBank genome assembly.